UGGGGAAUUGUUCGCAAUGGGCGCAAGCCUGACGACGCAACGCCGCGUGGAGGAUGAAGGUCUUCGGAUUGUAAACUCCUGUUGAUCGGGACGAAAAGCUUUGACCUAACACGUCAAAGACUGACGGUACCGGUUGAGGAAGCCACGGCUAACUCUGUGCCAGCAGCCGCGGUAAUACAGAGGUGGCAAGCGUUGUUCGGAAUUACUGGGCGUAAAGGGCGCGUAGGCGGCCUUCUAAGUCGGACGUGAAAGCCCCAGGCUUAACCUGGGAACUGCGUCCGAUACUGGAAGGCUUGGAUUCGGGAGAGGGAUGUGGAAUUCCAGGUGUAGCGGUGAAAUGCGUAGAUAUCUGGAGGAACACCGGUGGCGAAGGCGGCAUCCUGGACCGAGAUCGACGCUGAGGCGCGAAAGCUAGGGGAGCAAACGGG
RNAcentral lists this ribosomal RNA (428 nucleotides) under uncultured bacterium. Its description in RNAcentral is "bacterial SSU rRNA". It matches the Rfam family "Bacterial small subunit ribosomal RNA", at positions 355 to 776 of the family's 1533-position model. The record is from RNAcentral.